CAGCAGCCGCGGGAAUACGUAGGUGGCAAGCGUUGUCCGGAAUUAUUGGGCGUAAAGCGCACGCAGGUGGUUUAAUAAGUCUGAUGUGAAAGCCCCCGGCUCAACCGGGGAGGGUCAUUGGAAACUGGGAAACUUGAGUGCAGAAGAGGAGAGUGGAAUUCCACGUGUAGCGGUGAAAUGCGUAGAUAUAUGGAGGAACACCGGUGGCGAAAGCAGCUCUCUGGCUUGUAACUGACGCUGAGGCUCGAAAGCGUGGGGAGCAAACAGGAUUAGAUACCCGCGUGUCCCUGUCUCUUAUACA
This 301-nucleotide ribosomal RNA is filed under the name uncultured bacterium. RNAcentral describes it as "partial 16S ribosomal RNA". It matches the Rfam family "Bacterial small subunit ribosomal RNA", at positions 509 to 808 of the family's 1533-position model. The record is from RNAcentral.